Molecule: long non-coding RNA, 1002 nt
Filed under: Dromaius novaehollandiae (emu)
Lineage: Eukaryota; Metazoa; Chordata; Aves; Casuariiformes; Dromaiidae
Description: lncRNA (ENSDNVG00000016919.1)
Source: RNAcentral
NNNNNNNNNNNNNNNNNNNNNNNNNNNNNNNNNNNNNNNNNNCGGGGGUCUCAUGGCCCCGGAACCGCAGGGGCCAAGKGGGUACGGGCCAGCCGGUACCGGGGGGGUACGGAGCUGGCCCGGCCCCCGCGGUGCCACCACCCCGGAUCAGGUCCGGCUCCGGCACACCCCAGACAGCCGCCCCCAACCUCAGUGCUGGACGUGGGCUGCAGCCUUUGGGGCUGUCAGGCUGCGUCUGGCCCGGCCACCCCUCGCGCAGGUCCCCCGUCCCCAUCCGCACAGGGAGGGCAAACCGCCGGGUGGCCCUGGCCCGCACGGGGGCCCGGCCGGCCGCGUCGUCCUCACGCACUCGGAGCCGCUCGCAGUGCAAACUCCUUUAUUAAACCGUUCUGUGCAGCCAGCCCGGGCUCUGUGGCAGCGUGGCGACGCGCGGCUAUUCCCAGGUGAUGUCCAGGUCCAGCCGCUGCUUCCGCACGGCCUGCAGGAAGCAGUCGUAGUCCCGGCGGUGGAUGUCCCGGCAGCGGGACAGGUCCAGGGAGCGCAGGUGGCCGUCGGUGGCCAGCAGCAGCCACACGGUCUGGCUGGACACCUGGCUCUCGGCCAGCGAGAGCUCCCGCAGCUCGAGCAGGGGGGGCCCGGGGGCCGCCAGCACCGCCUCGAACACGGCGUCCAGCGGGAAGGGCACGCAGAGCAGGCGCAGGCUCUGCAGGCGCGGCGAGCGGCACAGCAGCGAGGCCAGCGUGGCCCGCAGCACCAGGCCGUGCUGCGCCGGGAAGGGGCUGGAGGCGCCGGCCAGGGCCAGGGAGAAGCGCGUGAGCUGGGGGAAGGCCCAGCGGAGCGGCUCCCCGGGGGGGUCCCCGGCGGGGCCGGCGCCCGGCGGCCCGGGCGGCGGGUGCAGGUCGGUGCUGAAGGCCCGCAGGCAGGGGCAGCAGCCGAGCAGCUCGGCGAGGGAGAGCUCGUCCUCGUAGCAGAAGCCGUGGAGGGCGAGGGUGUGCAGCCGCG